RNAcentral lists this long non-coding RNA (362 nucleotides) under Carica papaya (papaya). RNAcentral's name for it is "long non-coding RNA (CPAP_LNC002748)". Lineage: Eukaryota; Viridiplantae; Streptophyta; Magnoliopsida; Brassicales; Caricaceae. The record is from RNAcentral.
AAUCAGCAGUCUCGACGAAUUGGAGCACGCCGCGUAGCAAGGCAUGCUGAUGUUGGCGCCACGCAAACGAUCUGAGUGCCCCGUGAUCUGAUUAUGCAGGAUUGAUCUCACACGCAUGAACGAUCUAAACAUGAUCUGACAGAUGAUAUCGAUCGCGAUAAAUAAUCCAGAUCAACGCGGGAUGGGUAUAAAUACUUCGCUUCAUAUGGGAAUCCAAACCCUAGCUACCAGCCCCGGCCGGAGAAGAAGAACCAGACGCUGGAGAGAGAGGCCGACUACCGACCGUCGCUGCACUGGAGCCAUCACCAGCCGCUAAAAAAGGUAAAAAAAAGUUUUUACCCGCUCAGAAUUCGAUUCAGAGC